Molecule: small nucleolar RNA, 105 nt
Organism: Octodon degus (degu)
Lineage: Eukaryota; Metazoa; Chordata; Mammalia; Rodentia; Octodontidae
Product: small nucleolar RNA U13
Exons: 1
Source: RefSeq, a predicted model, not a curated record
AUGGUUUUGUGGUUCAUAAGUGUGAUGAUUUGAUUUUCACACUGUUGUGAGGGAAGCAUCUUCCCUCAGCCCUUAUUCCAGUGUUUACACCUUUUUCAUCUGAUA